RNAcentral lists this ribosomal RNA (253 nucleotides) under uncultured bacterium. RNAcentral's name for it is "partial 16S ribosomal RNA". It matches the Rfam family "Bacterial small subunit ribosomal RNA", at positions 524 to 776 of the family's 1533-position model. The record is from RNAcentral.
AACGUAGGUGGCGAGCGUUAUCCGGAUUCACUGGGCGUAAAGCGCAUGCAGGUGGCACAGUAAGUAGGGCAUGAAAACUCCUGGCUUAACUGGGAGAGGCUGUCCUAGACUGCUGAGCUUGAGGAUGGGAGAGGGAAGUGGAAUUGCCGGUGUAGUGGUGAAAUGCGUAGAGAUCGGCAGGAACACCCGUGGCGAAAGCGGCUUCCUGGCCCAUUCCUGACACUCAGAUGCGAAAGCUAGGGGAGCGAACGGG